This 85-nucleotide transfer RNA is filed under the name Felis catus (domestic cat). It matches the Rfam family "tRNA". Rfam says of the family: Transfer RNA (tRNA) molecules are approximately 80 nucleotides in length. The record is from Rfam by way of RNAcentral. Lineage: Eukaryota; Metazoa; Chordata; Mammalia; Carnivora; Felidae. RNAcentral also lists the same sequence under 2 other names.
GCCUGGGUGGCUCAGUCAGUUAAGCAUCUGACUUUGGCUCAGGUCAUGAUCUUGAAGUUUGUGGGUUUGAGCCCCACAUCGGGCU